GCGCAAUAGUUAAGGAGGUUGACGGCAUGACAGUUGAGGACGUUGAUCUAAUGCAGAGAAGCAAGAAAAAAAGUAAAAGAAAGGCUAUUGGAUAGGCUCUUUUGUGGGUUGUGACAGGUUUAGGGAGGGUGACGACUGGUCAAACUUUGGUUCACCCAACCCAACUCGAGUCAUAGAGGAGGAAAAUGCAAAGUUUCUUGAAAUCCCGAUGGAAAAGGGCGCUAAUGGUGAAGGUUCUAGGGAGACAAAUGGGGUUUCAUGUUCUUCUGGCCAAACUGAAAAGGGAACUCAUUGACUUACCAAACGACUUCUUUUUGAGGGGACUUGGAAGAUUGCAAAUCACUAUUUGCUUGUUCAGAGAUGGAGACUUGGGUUUCAGGCAAGUGUUGAUGUUGAGAGGAGGGUUGCUGCUUGGGUCAGAAUACUAAAUCUUUCCAUUGAGUUGUACAAUGAUGCUUUCCUAACGAGAGUGGGGAACAUGAUCGGAGUGAUGCUAAAAGUGAAUACAAUUACUUCCAUCCACUAAGGAGGCUAAUUUGCCCGUAUUUGCGUAGAGCUUGAACUAGAUAAACCUUUGAUCCCAAAGUUUAUUGUUAGGGGGGAAAUCCUUAAUCUUGUGUUCGAAGGGCUUCAUGUCAUUUAUUUCUCGUGUGGGAGAUAAAGGCACAGAGGAGAAAGUUGUCCCCAGAUUAUUAGGUCUCCAGAGACGGCGGAGAAGCCCAAGGAGGAAGCAGCGACCGUGGAUGUUGUUUCUAUUAUUAAGGAGGCGAGUGGAAUUCAGUUGGAUCUGGGUUAGGCCUAAACCCCAAAGGCUGACGUGGAGGUCAAUAACAUUCCUUCAAUGGUUGGAAUUCUACAACAAAGCACUCAUGAUAUCGAUGGGGCCCUCUAUGGUCCUUGGAUGCUGUCACUAGGAAGAAGGACACAAAAGGUAAAGCUAAGGUUGUUUUCACUGGAACAAGGGGCCUAUCUGGUACGUAAGAUGGGGAAAGAAAGCGUGGGGCCCAAGCUAGGAAAUCAACUCCUAGGCUUAAGAAGAAAGUGAUUGUGCCUAGUAUUAUUUUCAGGGCCUCUAAAGGUAACUAUACCCAAACCAAAGGUAAAGUUAACAAGAAUGACACUAUAGUUGGGGGGGAGUUUCUCUUCUCUUAUUAACUCUGAUCAGCACGAAGAGGAAAAAAAGAAAGUAGGUCCUGGCAAGAGGAAGGCUCAUCCUACAAAAUAUGCCAGUACAAAUAAAAAAGGUUUAGUAGUUUUUGCUCCUAGAACUAAUCCUCAGCCAAAUGAGGUUAUGCCAAAAAUCAAAUGAAUAGUGAAGAAUUUGCAAAAAAAUUGUCCCUAAUGAAGAGUGGUUUCAAUAUUGAAGAGAACCCAGAAAGCUCUGGAUCUAAGAACUUUUCUGGUGUCCCUAUUUCUCAGCCAAGUUAGAUAGAAGGGUUUGACUAGGUUUGUUUAAGAUAAGGAUAAAACUAUUGAGAUGUGCUUAGAUGACAAAGCCAUGGACGUGCAAAUGUCAAUUUAAAAUCAAGAAGGUAAUGACAUUCUUGAGAUGUAACCUGGACUAGUUGGAGUCACCAACAAUCUAGUCUUAUGAAUAUUAUUAGUUUGAAUUGUAGGGGUACCCAGAAUAAGGGGUUUUCUAACCUCAUCAGAGAUAUAAAAAAAGAGUGUAAGGCUUCCUUGAUGUGCCUCCUUGAGACUCAUUCUAGUGGUUUAGUGGCGAAGAAAAUAUUUAAUGGAUGCAACUAUGAUAAAGUGUUUAUUCAAGAUGCAGUUGGUGAAGCUGGUGGGAUCUGGAUCCUUUGGGAUUCUAUGAUUUGGGAUAUUGAGAUUUUGGCCUAUGAAACUCAUUAUGUUCACUUGAAGGUUAGGAAUGGAACUUCUCCUUCUUGGUUUAUGACAGUUGUUUAUGGCAGCCCCCACUAUCAAGCUAGAAGUAGAUUGAUGGACUCCUUAAUCAAUCUUGUAGAUUCAAUCUCUCACCCUUGGGUUGUGGUUGGGGAUUUUAAUUCCAUCCUCAAUCCCAUGAUAGAGACAAACAUUUUUGCAACUACUACUAGGAGCAUGAACAAAUUCAAAGAUGUUGUUGAUGAGUGCCAAUUGAUUGAUGCAGGCUUUCAAGGACGCCCUUUCACCUGGAGACGCAAAGGCCUCACUAAGAGAUUGGAUCACUUGCUCAUUAAUUUCAGUUGGAGACUUCAGUAUAAAUAAGCAUCUGCUUUUCAUCUACCCAACUUCAAAUCAGAUCAUGCACUUAUUUUGAUUGAGUUGUGUAAAAAUCAUCUUCCUAACAAGCAUAGGAGGCCUUUUAGUUUCCUAGCUGCAUGGAUCACUCAUGAGGACUUCCUAAGGGACCAUUGGAAGAGCGAUCUACCUUGGAAUGCUUAGCUCUUAACUUUUAGGGUUGAUCUUUAGGAGUGGAAGAAAAAUAUAUUUGGUCACAUUCAGGUGAGGAAAAAGGCUUUGUUGAAGAAGCUUCAAUGCUUAGCAAACUGUUUUGGUUCGAAUAAUGACACUGGGUUGGUGAAUGAACAAAUGAAAGUUUGGAGGGAUUAUCAGCAAGUUCUGGCUGAGGAGGAACUCCUCAAGUUUCAAAAAUCCAUAGCAAAAUGGCUUAAAUUUGGCAACUGUAACACCAAGUUCUUUCAUGGGGUGGCUUCAGUCAAAAGGAGAAGAAACAAGGUGGACACCAUCCAAGAUGAUGAUGGUGUUUUGGCUCACCGACAAAUGGCAAAUAGAAAGGUAUGCAACAGAUUUCUUCCGGAAGCUUUUUUUGGUUGAAAACAACUUCACUCCUUUUCGUCUUGCUAAUUCUUUUCCUGAUCUUGAUGUUGAUGAGGUGGAUUCACUAGGGAAGCAUGUCACUAGGGAUGAGAUCAAGCUCUCAGUCAUAUGGGUGGCUUCAAAGCUCCUGGUCCUGAUGAAAUGCAUGCUAUUUUCUACCAAUCUUAAUGGAAAAGGAUCUGAAUGAUACACUCAUCACUUUAAUUCCCAAGCUACCAGUUGUUACAAAGCUAAAAGACUUCAGACCUAUUAGUCUUUGCAAUGUCACUUACAAGCUGGUAGCAAAAGUUCUUGCCCAAAGGUUGAGAGUGCUUAUGGAGAAGCUAGUGAGCCCCUGUCAAGUUAGCUUCAUUCUGAAUAGACACAGUGGUGAUAACAUCACAAUUGCUUAAGAGAUCUUCCAUUCCAUGAGAUGCCGGAAGGGGAAGAAAGUUGGAUGAUUAUUAAAGUGGACUUGGAUAAGGCUUAUGAUUGUCUUAAGUGGGAAUUUGUGAAGGAAACUCUUCAAGACAUUGGCUACCCAAACAAUUUUGUGCAACUGGUUUGGUAUUGCAUGUCUACAACCAUUAUGAGUUUGCUUUGGAAUGGUGACGUUUUGGAUCACUUUUCUCCUAAUAUUGGAGUUCGUCAACGAGAUCCUAUCUCACCAUAUCUCUUUGUUCUUUGCUUGGAAAGGCUAUCUCAUCUCAUCAAUCUGGUGAUGAAUAAGAAGCUUUAGAGAUCGAUCCAAGUGAAUAGAGGUGGGCUUCUCAUAUCUCAUCUUGCCUUUGUAGACGAUCUCAUCCUCUUUGUAGAAGCUAAUAUGGACCAGGUGGAUGUGAUAAACCUAACUCUUAAGCACUUUUCUGACAGCUCUGGAGCCAAGGUUAAUGUGGACAAAACCAAAAGUUUUCUUUUUCCAAAAAUGUUAAUUGGUGGGUUGAGGAAGACAUCUCAAGUGGGCUGGGAUUACAAAGUACGGAUGAUUUAGGUAAGUACUUGGGAGUUCCUAUAUUCCACAAAAACCCAACUAGUCAUACCUUUGAUUUCAUCAUUGACAAGGUCAAUAAGAGAUUUAGUAGGUGGAAGAGCAAUUUGUUGUCCAUGGUGGGAAGAUUGACCUUAGCUAAAUAAGUGGUCUAGGCAUUGCCAUCUCAUAUUAUGCAGUUUGAUAAUUGUUGUGUAUGGGUAUAUUUUAUGAUUAAGUCAUAUAAAAAUUAUUAGAUUUCCUCUC
Glycine soja is the source of this 3997-nucleotide long non-coding RNA. RefSeq lists it as uncharacterized. NCBI's taxonomy places the organism in Eukaryota, Viridiplantae, Streptophyta, Magnoliopsida, Fabales, Fabaceae. The record is from RefSeq and is a predicted model, not a curated record. The transcript is spliced from 2 exons.